AUUUAAUAAAAAUUAAAUUUUUUAUAGUAAUUUAAAAUGAAUUUUAUUUCUUUAUAAAAGAAAUUUAUUAAUGUUUUAAACAAAACUUGCGUAAGAAAUUCCUUUUGUAUCAGGAUAAUAUGAUUAUAAUAUUAAUAAUUUUAACGAAACAAGAAGAUUUUAUUAUUUAUUUAAUGUGCCGUUUUACAGGUUGUUUUAUAUUUAGUAAGAAGUGAAAAAUUAUACGGUUCUUGUGAUAUCUUUUUAUUUUUCUAUUAAGUUUAAUUUAAUCUUUAUUAAGUUAAUAAAUUAAGGGACGAGCUUUAAUUUUUGUAUUAUUCGUACAAUAUUAAUUCAUGUAGUCUUUAUAAUGGACACCGUAAGUUUUUAAAAAUUUCUUUUUAAGUCUUAAAAAUUUUUAUUAUAAUAUACUAAUUAGAAAUUAAAUAAAUUAAUAAGUGUUUUGCUAUACUUAUUUGUUAAUUAGUAAUUAUAAUAGUGUGAAUAUAAUCUGUUUGUUUAAAUAAUAAAUUUGAAUUUGGCAUUUUUGUUUUCAAGUGUUUAACAAAAACAUUUCUUUUUGAUUUAAUAUAAAGUAAGACCUGCCCCAUGAUUAGUUUAAUGGCCGCAGUAAUAUGACUGUGCUAAGGUAGCAUAAUAAUUUGUCCUUUCAAUGAGGACUGGAAUGAAAGGUUCUAUGGAAACAAGCUAAUGAUUUUGUUAAUCUAUGAAUUUAAGAUUUUGGUUAAAAUUCCAAAAUAAACCUAAAAGACGAGAAGACCCUGUGGAUCUUUACUGUCACUUAUUCUUUUAUUAUUAAUAUAAGAGUUUAAAAAAUAGUUUGAUUGGGACGAUUCUUUAUUUAUCUGAAGUGUUAUAAAAUAUUUUGAUCCUGCAAAAGGAAUUAAGAUUAAGUUACCCCAGGGAUAACAGCGUAAUAUUACCGGAUAGUUCAUAUUGAUGGUAAUGUUUGCGACCUCGAUGUUGAAUUAAAAUUUCUUUGUGAAGUAGAAGUUACAAGAAGUUAGUCUGUUCGACUAUAAAAAUUUUACAUGAUUUGAGUUCAGACCGGCGUGAGCCAGGUCAGUUUCUAUCUUUAGGUGAUUAGUCAUUUUGUAGUACGAAAGGACCCAAAUUGAUUUUGAU
This 1125-nucleotide ribosomal RNA is filed under the name Heterocypris spadix. RNAcentral's name for it is "partial 16S ribosomal RNA". The stretch from base 719 to 1125 matches the Rfam family "Bacterial large subunit ribosomal RNA", at positions 2048 to 2708 of the family's 2925-position model. The record is from RNAcentral. Lineage: Eukaryota; Metazoa; Arthropoda; Ostracoda; Podocopida; Cyprididae.